AUGAAAGAACAGAUGCAAGAACUGUAUUCAGCUCAAUCACAAACAGAAAGUAUGGACUCUAUGUUCUUACAAGUGAAUGGCGAGGACGGCUCCAGCGAGUUUAUGCACGGGCACCCUGAUUCAGAGUGCAUCAAAAUGUAUACCUGUGAUGAUUGCGGACUUCUCUGCUCAACUGUCGAAGUCCUUCAGCGUCACAAGCGACAGAUCCAUGCAGUUGCUAGGAAAUGUUACUUGUGCCCUUGUUGCAAAGACAGUUUUCCUAAUACUUGGAGUGUUCAUAGGCAUUUAUUCAAAGUCCAUCAUAAAACAAAUGAGCAAGUGCGGAAACUAAGGUUACAAAUUAAAUCCAAAAUUCUGAAACCCGGUAAAACAACAAGGAAUUGCCUGACAAGACAAAAAUGGUCCAACCAAAAAUUACAGAUCAGGAGAAAUGGAAUCUGGAAAACGAGGUAAUUAUGAUCUAAGUGUGUGCAGGGUUAUCCAAAUCAAAUGGUAGAAACUUCAGGGAUCAAUUCUUUUGACCGAAAUAAGAUUAUUUAAUUUUGUGACAUUUUUCGUAUGAGCCAUUUUGAUUCACUUCAUGAUUCUCCUUUAGGAGACGCUCCUAAACCUCCCUCCCCCAUGUUUUCAGUUUUUACUCUUGUUUUUUCACCAGAAUAGGAUAAAUCGUAUAAAAGGAUCUCUGGGCCCCAAAUUUCCUAACAUUUUAUUUUAUAACUGGCUGUAAUUUUUUUUUUUUUUAAAAAAAAAAAAAAAAUUCUAGAAUUUUCGAGGGGUCAUAUUUCUCUUCAAACUAGCUCAAACGAAGAAAUGUCAUGGAACAAAAUAAUCUCAUUUAGGUCUGAAGAAUGGAUCCCUUCAGUUUUUGCUAUUUGAUACGGGACACCCUGUGCAUUCUGUCUUUUAAAAGGAGUGUGGGGAGAGAGUGGAGUCUUUAUAAGUGCUGUAUAUAAUGCCUACUCCUCCUAUCAUGUUCUAAAAGGCAGUGAUAAUUCAUUACAGGCAAAUUUGCUCGUGAAAAACCGUGAGUUUUUCCUAUUUCAAAUUUUAAUUUGAGCAACUUUUAGUUUUUAACAAAUUCAAUCAAUCGAAGUAAUUUUUAAAAACAUGUACACACAAGACUUGCAAAAGAGUCGAAAUUGUUGAGAUGGAAUUCGAUUUUUCUUGUUAAACCAUCGACCGACUCAUGAAUGUAUUUUCGGCAGUGAGGACCAACAGUCCUUUAAGUUCUAUUCAAAUUAAUUGCAGCUUGUUUUGUAUUUCAUCACUCUGUCGGCGAUUUUUACAUAAGAUCAGUUUGCAGGUCUUAUCAUAAUCAUGCCAAGGAAGAAAGCUGUAUGAGCCCUCAGAUGUUGUCAUAUUUCCUCAAUAAAAACGAAUAUAGUGGAAAAAUGUCGAAUAUUUUCUUCAAUUUUUUCUGACAAUGUUGCUAGCAAUACAAUGUGAAAUAUCUAAAAUUUCAAGGUAUAAUAUGCAUACCUUUCCUUAAAAAAUAAUAUUUACUCAGAGAAAUUCGGUAACUCUUGAAUUUUCAUAAAGCGUCCUUCCAUAGCGUAGCAGUGUGACACUUGUUAGUAAAGUUUCUUAGGAGAAAGUAACAAAGAAUACUUGUUUAUUUUUCAAUCUCUUAAGGAGAGUAGUGGACCUAGCGAUAAAUUUGCUUUAUUGGCUUAAAGUACUUUCACCUGUUUUUUUUGUCUCAAACUCAAACUAACUCUCUGCCUUGAUUUUCAGGAGUGGCUUGAUCAGAUGGAGAAAGAUGAUCUACUUCGUUGUGGAAGUUGUGGUCGCAGAUUUGAGCGGCGAGCAGCAUUGAAAGCCCAUUCCGAGUUUGCCAAAGUCGUGUUUCCAUUAGUAGCAUUAGUAGUAUUCAAUGCCGAGUGACCUCUGAAAAAUUAUCAAAUCAAGCUGACCCUAAACCAAAGUCUGACAAUGACGACCUGAAAUUGCAUCCUGUUGUUGCAUUAACAGCGCUCACCCCCGCGCAGAUCAAAGAUAGUCUAAGCGCUAAAGACAAAGCUCCAGAGAAGAAAAUUGGCAUCCAGGUACGCAUGGACUACUGCAAAAAUACGUCUUCGAAUUCGUUGGCCGAGGAACGAGUUCCCAAACCAUCGCCGGUUGAAGUCAUCACGAUUGAUGAAGAUAGAACUCAUGAUAGGUCGAAGACUUGUCUGGAAACUUUGCUAACUAAGAAACGAAAUAACCGGUCAGAUAGUGGCAACGACUCUGAAUCUCAAGACGAUAUGAGCGUUGGGCUGGACUUCAGCAGCGAUUCUGUGAUAAAUGAAGAUUUAAUCAAACUUAAUAUGCAUGACAUUCCAGGUAUUAGCUCAACAGACUCCAACGUCGGCUCUAAUGACACAGCGUUGAAGGCUCCGUCAGGAUAGAGUCAGCAAAUGAUGAAUUUACAAGUGAAAAUAUACCUAACAAACGGAAGAAAGCUUGUCCAGUCAAAAGACGAAUCAGUGCCAAAAAAAACGUUGUCCAAAAAGUCAAAUGAUGGAGAGUGUGUUUUUCGGAGGGAAGGUGUCAAAGCAACGUAUGCAAAUUGUAAGAAAAAGACUGCACCAGGGAAGUCUAUAAUUUUUCUCACUCUUGUCCGGAGCAUGUUAAGCAACUCACCGAUUAUUACAACAAAACGGACAGUGUUUGUCUUCUCUGUAAUAGUUAUACAGACCCAAGUGACAUCCUACAGCACGUAUCGGAGCAUGGACGUUGGAUCAAGUUCCGCUGCAAGUGGCCAGAGUGUACAUACAAGGCGUACAACAGAGUCGAAUUAAUUCUGCACGUCACAAAAGAGCACAAAUUCAAAAAUGGAGAAGUUGCUCAUGAUUUUGUCGACCUGAUCUCAAGAGAAGACUGGAAGUUUGUUGUCGCAACGUCAGCUAAUAAUGGCAGUGUCCUACUAGGGAAAGUAACUGAACUUAACGAUAGACUUAACGGAAAAGAAAGAAUUAAUGGAUCUGGACCACUUUUGAAAAAUAUUCUCGAAGUGGCAAGAGAUGUAGAAAAUUCCGUUCCAUCCAAAGAAAAUAUAGAAGAAUCAACAGAGUCAGAUACCAAACCAGAAU
This 3071-nucleotide long non-coding RNA is filed under the name Bemisia tabaci. Its description in RNAcentral is "lncRNA ENSSWEETPG000291". Lineage: Eukaryota; Metazoa; Arthropoda; Insecta; Hemiptera; Aleyrodidae. The record is from RNAcentral.